Molecule: long non-coding RNA, 1537 nt
Filed under: Canis lupus familiaris (dog)
Lineage: Eukaryota; Metazoa; Chordata; Mammalia; Carnivora; Canidae
Description: lncRNA (ENSCAFG00805022705.1, ENSCAFG00845015098.1)
Source: RNAcentral
GGCACUCAGCAAAGAAUAAUGGCCUGGGGAGGAGACAGUGAGGAGGUACAGUCAACAGGCUUUACUGAUAGAUUUCUCAUGAAGGAGAGAUGAUUCUAUCAAACCUUCCACACUAAUUCCUGGAGUACUGGCUGUAUAUGCAGGCUGCCCCUCAGGACCUGUGCCAGGCUGCCUGAACCUGAGAUGCCAAUUCAUCUUUAGUUUUUUCCUCUAUGAAGUGGCAGUGAAAAAAAUCUGUCCUGCCCACCUCCCAGGAAUGCACAGAGGGGAAGGAUGUUGAGGGGAGGAAGGAAGAAUUUCCUUCUUCCUCUCUUUCUACUUCACAUCAUGGAUGUUGCAAAGGCAAACAAUUUUUGGGCAUCAUGACCUAGUGCAGAGUAUAUGCACAAGGCAUCUUUGGUUCAGAACCUGAGGCUGUCUGAGCAUGAAGGGAGGUGACAUCAUUGGAGUCCUCUGGGAUGAAACAGAGCCAGGUGCCUAGAGCCAUAGGGCAUCUACGGGGCGCUUUGACAACGGCUACUGUUCGUGUGUUGACACUGUCUUGAUUGCUUUGCAAAAACUAUCUCUUAAUCCAUUUGACCUUAUGAGGUUAGAAGUACUAUCUUCACCUUAUAAAUGAAGGAACCAAGGCUCAGAGAGGUUAAGUAACUUGCCCAAGGUCACAGAGCUAGGAAGUGGUAGAUUUGGGCUUCAAACCAGAUCUUCUGAACUCCAAAUGGAGUCUUAACUACUUUUGUGGGAUGGAGAUUAGAGAGCAUUUGCAAAUAAUGAAACUAUUGGUUAGGUGUUUCUUUUUCACUUCUGCUACAGAAUGAUUUCUGUGGGCAAACCUCAGUAAUUGAUAGAGAGCCUAUUCUAAUUAUACAUAGUUUAUUCACAAGGCCAACAAGAUUAUAAAAACCUUUUUAAAAAUAAUAUCUGCUCCAGUUAGCUAUGGGCACAGUACACCAACCUAAAGUGUAAAAUAGAAAUCAUUAUACUAUGCUCAUGGAUUCCAUGGGUCAGGACUUGGGACAGGGCACAGUGGGAACGGUUUGUCUCUGUUCCAUAAAGCCUCAGGCCUCAGCUGGGAAAACCAAACAACUGGAGGUGACUCCAUGACCGGGGCUGGAAUAAUCUAAUGGCUUCUGCGCUCAAAUGUCUGGGCUGGGAAUGACUGAAAGGCUGGGUGAGCUGGGAUUGUGGCCCACAUUGCCUCCACGCAGCCUCUCCAUGUGACUUGGGGUUCCUUACAACAUGGCGGCCUCAGCUAGUUAGACUUCACCCAGGGCAGCUCAGAGCUCCAAGAGCUAGUGUGCCAGUAGAAACUUCCAGUGCAAAAGGUAGAAACUGCAUGAUGAAUCAGUAACCAUACAGUCCCCCUCUGUGACUUAAUCUUCCUUAGUAUGACAAGUCUAAUAAAUCAGCCCUGUCCUCUGGAUGGGAUGGACUGAUCAGCAACAAGUGAUUCAUGAUCCUUUGCCUAAUAUAAGGAACUGUUACCAUUGAUUCUUUGCUCAGUCAACUGCAAAAAAAAAAAAAAAAAAAAAAAAAAAAA